AGCAGCCGCGGUAAUUCCAGCUCCAAUAGCGUAUAUUAAAGUUGUUGCAGUUAAAAAGCUCGUAGUUGAAUUUCGGGAUCAAGUUGUUGGUCGUGCCUCGGUACGCACUGGUGACAUUGGUUUCUCCCUUCUGAAGAACCUUGAUGUCAUUAAUUUGGUGUCUUGGGGAAUCAGGACUGUUACUUUGAAAAAAUUAGAGUGUUUAAAGCAGGCUCACGCUUGAAUACAUUAGCAUGGAAUAAUGAAAUAGGACGUUUGAUUCUAUUUUGUUGGUUUCUAGGAUCGACGUAAUGAUUAAUAGGGAUAGUUGGGGGCAUUAGUAUUCAAUUGUCAGAGGUGAAAUUCUUGGAUUUGUUGAAGACUAACUACUGCGAAAGCAUUUGCCAAGGAUGUUUUCAUUAAUCAAGAACGAAAGUUAGGGGAUCGAAGACGAUCAGAUACCGUCGUAGUCUUAACCAUAAACUAUGCCGACUAGGGAUCGGAUGAUGUUAAUUUUUAAUGACUCAUUCGGCGCCUUAAC
RNAcentral lists this ribosomal RNA (520 nucleotides) under uncultured Glomeromycotina. Its description in RNAcentral is "SSU rRNA". It matches the Rfam family "Eukaryotic small subunit ribosomal RNA", at positions 569 to 1092 of the family's 1831-position model. Lineage: Eukaryota; Fungi; Glomeromycota. The record is from RNAcentral.